This 1434-nucleotide ribosomal RNA is filed under the name uncultured bacterium. RNAcentral describes it as "bacterial SSU rRNA". It matches the Rfam family "Bacterial small subunit ribosomal RNA". The record is from RNAcentral.
AGAGUUUGAUCCUGGCUCAGGACGAACGCUGGCGGCGUGCCUAAUACAUGCAAGUCGAGCGAGCUUGCCUAGAUGAUUUUAGUGCUUGCACUAAAUGAAACUAGAUACAAGCGAGCGGCGGACGGGUGAGUAACACGUGGGUAACCUGCCCAAGAGACUGGGAUAACACCUGGAAACAGAUGCUAAUACCGGAUAACAACACUAGACGCAUGUCUAGAGUUUGAAAGAUGGUUCUGCUAUCACUCUUGGAUGGACCUGCGGUGCAUUAGCUAGUUGGUAAGGUAACGGCUUACCAAGGCAAUGAUGCAUAGCCGAGUUGAGAGACUGAUCGGCCACAUUGGGACUGAGACACGGCCCAAACUCCUACGGGAGGCAGCAGUAGGGAAUCUUCCACAAUGGACGAAAGUCUGAUGGAGCAACGCCGCGUGAGUGAAGAAGGGUUUCGGCUCGUAAAGCUCUGUUGGUAGUGAAGAAAGAUAGAGGUAGUAACUGGCCUUUAUUUGACGGUAAUUACUUAGAAAGUCACGGCUAACUACGUGCCAGCAGCCGCGGUAAUACGUAGGUGGCAAGCGUUGUCCGGAUUUAUUGGGCGUAAAGCGAGUGCAGGCGGUUCAAUAAGUCUGAUGUGAAAGCCUUCGGCUCAACCGGAGAAUUGCAUCAGAAACUGUUGAACUUGAGUGCAGAAGAGGAGAGUGGAACUCCAUGUGUAGCGGUGGAAUGCGUAGAUAUAUGGAAGAACACCAGUGGCGAAGGCGGCUCUCUGGUCUGCAACUGACGCUGAGGCUCGAAAGCAUGGGUAGCGAACAGGAUUAGAUACCCUGGUAGUCCAUGCCGUAAACGAUGAGUGCUAAGUGUUGGGAAGUUUCCGCCUCUCAUUGCUGCAGCUAACGCAUUUAAGCACUUCGCCUGGGGGAGUAGGGCCGACAAGGUUGAAACUCAAAGGAGUGGACGGAGGCCCGCACAAGCGGUGGAGCAUGUGGUUUAAUUUGAAGCAACGCGAAGAACCUUACCAGGCCUUGACAUCGGGAUGGCGUGGGCGUAACGGCUUAUUCCCCUCGGGGCAUCAGAGACAGGUGGUGCGUGGUUGUCGUCAGCUCGUGUCGUGAGAUGUUGGGUUAAGUCCCGCAACGAGCGCAACCCUUAUUCCCAGUAGCCAGCAUUUUGGAUGGGCGCUCUGGGGAGACUGCCGGGGAAGACCCGGAGGAAGGCGGGGAUGACGUCAAAUCAUCAUGCCCCUUAUGGCCUGGGCUACACACGUGCUACAAUGGCGCAUACAAAGGGAGGCGAAGGAGCGAUCUGAAGCAAAUCCCAGAAAAGGCGCCCCAGUUCGGAUUGCAGCCUGCAACUCGGCUGCAUGAAGCUGGAAUCGCUAGUAAUCGCGGAUCAGAAUGCCGCGGUGAAUACGUUCCCGGGUCUUGCACAAACGGCCCGUCA